AUGCCGAGCAUAUCGCAUCGCAGUAGCCCAGAUCCCAUGCCGUCCGCCGGAGCUCCUCCACCUCUGCUGGCGGCGCCCCAUUCCUCCCCCCGAGAGGCGCAGGCCGUCCUUCUUCCUCAUCCCGGGCCUUUUGCCGCACCGCCACCGCGCAGCUCGACGGGAUGCUGCCCUGCUAGACAGUGGAGGAGAUCGGACUUGCGGUUAUCGCAGAGGGGGAGGAGGAAGGUCGAUGUCGCGGAAGAGUCGUCGAUUGUCUUUUCCCGCGACGGCGGAGGGGCGGAGGUCGUCAACAAGGAGGAGAAGGGUGUCAAGAAUCUCCACAUGAAGAUAUCCUUGAGCAAUGGAAGCAAAUGCUUUUGUUUCAUCAACGGGAACAUCGGUUCUCAAGAGGUGAGGGUGCCAUUGGUCCAUGGAACAACCAGCAUGUUGUUUCCAGAUGCUUUUGUUGAAUUUGAAGCUGUGGUUGGCUUCUCAUGGUUGUUUUUCAGAUUCUUCAAGUUGGACAUGAUAGCACUAGAGUGGUCGUCCCUCCAUGACCAGGAGUUGGAUCACAUCAACUGUUUCCUUUACAAGGGCCAGUCUAUCCAGGCGAAGGAGGAAGGCAAGAUCAAAGUCGUUGUGGCCGGCCGGUCACGACGCGCGGAAACGACCGAGUGCCUUACCUCUUGCUGGCCAGUUCAUACCCUGUAA
RNAcentral lists this ribosomal RNA (690 nucleotides) under Triticum aestivum (bread wheat). RNAcentral's name for it is "partial small subunit ribosomal RNA". The record is from RNAcentral. Lineage: Eukaryota; Viridiplantae; Streptophyta; Magnoliopsida; Poales; Poaceae.